This 478-nucleotide ribosomal RNA is filed under the name uncultured bacterium. RNAcentral's name for it is "partial 16S ribosomal RNA". It matches the Rfam family "Bacterial small subunit ribosomal RNA", at positions 28 to 523 of the family's 1533-position model. The record is from RNAcentral.
GACGAACGCUGGCGGCGUGCUUAACACAUGCAAGUCGAACGGUAAGGCCCUUCGGGGUACACGAGUGGCGAACGGGUGAGUAACACGUGGGUGAUCUGCCCUGCACUUCGGGAUACGCCUGGGUAACUGGGUCUAAUACCGGAUAGGACCACUGCCUGCAUGGGUGGUGGUGGAAAGCUUUUGCGGUGUGGGAUGGGCCCGCGGCCUAUCAGCUUGUUGGUGGGGUGAUGGCCUACCAAGGCGACGACGGGUAGCCGGCCUGAGAGGGUGACCGGCCACACUGGGACUGAGAUACGGCCCAGACUCCUACGGGAGGCAGCAGUGGGGAAUAUUGCACAAUGGGCGCAAGCCUGAUGCAGCGACGCCGCGUGAGGGAUGACGGCCUUCGGGUUGUAAACCUCUUUCAGCACCGACGAAGCGCAAGUGACGGUAGGUGCAGAAGAAGGACCGGCCAACUACGUGCCAGCAGCCGCAGUAA